Molecule: transfer RNA, 40 nt
Filed under: Flagrax sp. UPOL A00562
Lineage: Eukaryota; Metazoa; Arthropoda; Insecta; Coleoptera; Lycidae
Description: partial tRNA-Ser
Source: RNAcentral
AUAAACAAUUUAUUGCUUUAUUAAAAGUUAGAAGCUUUUA